CGGAGUGGACACACCUCUGGUGUAUCGGUUGUCACGCCAGUGGCAUUGCCGAGUAGCUAUGUGUGGAAGAGAUAACCGCUGAAAGCAUCUAAGCGGGAAACUCGUUUCAAGAUGAGAUCUGCCGGGGCCUUGAGCCCCCUAAAGAGUCGUUCAAGACCAGGACGUUGAUAGGUCAGGUGUGGAAGCGCAGUAAUGCGUUAAGCUAACUGAUACUAAUUGCUCGUGCGGCUUGACCCU
Molecule: ribosomal RNA, 237 nt
Filed under: Rhodoferax sp.
Lineage: Bacteria; Pseudomonadati; Pseudomonadota; Betaproteobacteria; Burkholderiales; Comamonadaceae
Description: partial 23S ribosomal RNA
Rfam family: Bacterial large subunit ribosomal RNA
Source: RNAcentral